This 86-nucleotide small nuclear RNA is filed under the name Catagonus wagneri (Chacoan peccary). RNAcentral describes it as "U2 spliceosomal RNA (ENSCWAG00000018599.1)". Lineage: Eukaryota; Metazoa; Chordata; Mammalia; Artiodactyla; Tayassuidae. The record is from Rfam by way of RNAcentral.
AUCGCUUCUCGGCCUUUUGGCUAAGAUCAAGUGUAGAAGAGUACAUGGCUUGUAUUCAGUUAAAAUUAAUUAAAUGAGUAUCUCCU